Molecule: ribosomal RNA, 493 nt
Filed under: uncultured bacterium
Lineage: Bacteria
Description: bacterial SSU rRNA
Rfam family: Bacterial small subunit ribosomal RNA
Source: RNAcentral
GACGAACGCUGGCGGCGUGCCUAAUACAUGCAAGUCGAACGCACUCUCGUUUAGAUUGAAGGAGCUUGCUCCUGAUUGAUAAACAUUUGAGUGAGUGGCGGACGGGUGAGUAACACGUGGGUAACCUGCCCUAAAGUGGGGGAUAACAUUUGGAAACAGAUGCUAAUACCGCAUAAAACCUAAACACCGCAUGGUGUAGGGUUGAAAGAUGGUUUCGGCUAUCACUUUAGGAUGGACCCGCGGUGCAUUAGUUAGUUGGUGAGGUAAAGGCUCACCAAGACCGUGAUGCAUAGCCGACCUGAGAGGGUAAUCGGCCACACUGGGACUGAGACACGGCCCAGACUCCUACGGGAGGCAGCAGUAGGGAAUCUUCCACAAUGGACGAAGUCUGAUGGAGCAACGCCGCGUGAGUGAAGAAGGUUUCGGAUCGUAAAACUCUAGUUGUUGGAGAAGAAUGUAUCUGAUAGUAACUGAUCAGGUAGUGACGGUAUCC